AGGUGGGGAUGANGUCAAAUCAUCAUGNNNNUUAUGUCUUGGGCUUCACGCAUGCUACAAUGGNCGGUACAAUGGGCUGCGAUACCGUAAGGUGGAGCGAAUCCCAAAAAGNNGGUCCCAGUUCGGAUUGAGGUCUGCAACUCGACCUCAUGAAGUCGGAGUCGCUAGUAAUCGCAGAUCAGCAACGCUGCGGUGAAUACGUUCCCGGGUCUUGUACACACCGCCCGUCAAGUCAUGAAAGUCGGUAACACCUGAAGCCGGUGGCCUAACCUUGUGGAGGGAGUCGUCGAAGGUGGGACUGGCGAUUGGGACU
Molecule: ribosomal RNA, 313 nt
Filed under: unidentified eubacterium clone pCON3
Lineage: Bacteria
Description: partial 16S ribosomal RNA
Rfam family: Bacterial small subunit ribosomal RNA
Source: RNAcentral